This 662-nucleotide long non-coding RNA is filed under the name Aquilegia coerulea. RNAcentral describes it as "long non-coding RNA (ACOE_LNC000323)". Lineage: Eukaryota; Viridiplantae; Streptophyta; Magnoliopsida; Ranunculales; Ranunculaceae. The record is from RNAcentral.
CUUAUUGUGCAACAUUUCAAUGUGUAGUACAAGAUAUGAUACAUUAUACAAUAGUAAAUAAAGCAAUAACACCAUAAAACAAUAUACAUAAAGUGAUCAGAACAUAACAUGUUGUAUUCAAUUCAUAGAAGCUGGUCUAAAAUCUGUCAUGCAACAAAAACAUAAUACCACAUGUUUGUUGACCAUAAAAACAAGAAAAAAUAUUGUUUAAGAACCUAACAUGGUUCACACAUCAAGAACCUAGACUAACACAAUAAAAUAUUGUUUAAAGACACAACCACACAAUAUUAUUUGAAGACAUGCAUUUCACUAUGGGUGUAUCCCAUAGCCCCUAUGGUUGUAUCCCAUGCUGGUAUCUCCUUUGUGCUUUUUAGCCUUUGGUUUACCUCUGAUAGGAGUGACCCCUCUUCUAGUGGUGCAUUUUCCUCUCCCUCUGCCUGCUGCAAGGCCUCCUGUUUGAGAUGUAGUUUUUCCUCCUCCUCUACUUGCUGCAACAUUGGUCCUGCAUGCCUCCCCUUUCAGAUGUUGUAGUGGUCCUUCCUCCUCCUAUACUUGCUGCAACAUUGGUCAUGCCUCCCCUUCCAAAUUGAGUAGUGGUCCUUCUUCCCCUCUCAGAUGGAGUAGUGGUCUUUCCUCCUGUGCCAGCCCUUGUAGUCGUCUCU